GAUGAACGCUAGCGGCAGGCUUAAUACAUGCAAGUCGAGGGGCAGCACGGUUAGCAAUAACUGGUGGCGACCGGCGCACGGGUGCGUAACACGUAUACAAUCUACCUUAAACAGGGGGAUAGCCUUUCGAAAGAGAGAUUAAUACCCCGUAAUAAAUUGAACGGCAUCGUUUGAUUUUGAAAGCUCCGGCGGUUUGAGAUGAGUAUGCGUCUGAUUAGCUAGUUGGUGAGGUAACGGCUCACCAAGGCGACGAUCAGUAGGGGAUCUGAGAGGACUAACCCCCACACUGGUACUGAGACACGGACCAGACUCCUACGGGAGCAGCAGUAAGGAAUAUUGGUCAAUGGAGGCAACUCUGAACCAGCCAUGCCGCGUGCAGGAUGACGGCCCUAUGGGUUGUAAACCGCUUUUAUACAAGAGAAAACCCUGGUACGUGUACCAGGUUGAUAGUAUUGUAAGAUAAGCAUCGGCUAACUUCGUGCCAGCAGCCGCGGUAAU
RNAcentral lists this ribosomal RNA (498 nucleotides) under uncultured bacterium. RNAcentral describes it as "bacterial SSU rRNA". It matches the Rfam family "Bacterial small subunit ribosomal RNA", at positions 28 to 524 of the family's 1533-position model. The record is from RNAcentral.